This 468-nucleotide ribosomal RNA is filed under the name uncultured bacterium. RNAcentral's name for it is "partial 16S ribosomal RNA". It matches the Rfam family "Bacterial small subunit ribosomal RNA", at positions 28 to 507 of the family's 1533-position model. The record is from RNAcentral.
GACGAACGCUGGCGGCGUGCUUAACACAUGCAAGUCGAACGGAAAGGCCCUGCUUUUGUGGGGUGCUCGAGUGGCGAACGGGUGAGUAACACGUGAGUAACCUGCCCUUGACUGUGGGGUAACUUCAGGAAACUGGGGCUAAUACCGCAUAGGAGCUCCUGCUGCAUGGUGGGGGUUGGAAAGUUUCGGCGGUUGGGGAUGGAAUCGCGGCCUAUCGGUUUGUUGGUGGGGUAGUGGCUUACCAAGGCUUGGACGGGUAGCCGGCCUGGGAGGGUGACAGGACACAUUGGGAUUGAGAUACGGCCCAGACUCCUACGGGAGGCAGGGGUGGAGAAUAGUGCACAAUGGGCGGAGGCCUGAUGCAGCAACGCCGCGUGGGGGAGGACGGCCUUCGGGUUGGAAACCGCUUUCGCCUGUGACGAAGCGUGAGUGACGGUAAUGGGUAAAGAAGCACCGGCUAACUACGUG